CGCGGGAGAUCGCAUGGACGAGGUCCCGACGGAGCACGCCGCGUGAGCGAUGAGGCCUUCGGGUCGUAAAGCUCUGUUGUUAGGGAAGAACAAGUAUCGAUUAGCUGCUGGUACCUUGACGGUACCUAACGAGAAAGCCACGGCUAACUACGUGCCAGCAGCCGCGUAAAUA
This 172-nucleotide ribosomal RNA is filed under the name uncultured bacterium. RNAcentral's name for it is "partial 16S ribosomal RNA". It matches the Rfam family "Bacterial small subunit ribosomal RNA", at positions 355 to 525 of the family's 1533-position model. The record is from RNAcentral.